Uloborus diversus is the source of this 1296-nucleotide RNA transcript. It is a transcript of the gene named ankyrin repeat domain-containing protein 16-like, with no coding region annotated. NCBI's taxonomy places the organism in Eukaryota, Metazoa, Arthropoda, Arachnida, Araneae, Uloboridae. The record is from RefSeq and is a predicted model, not a curated record. The transcript has 9 exons.
AUCGCGUGUCGUAGUGUAGAAAUGAGGUGUGAGCUAAACGAAAAGUUGUUUCUUGUCCGAUUUCAACGUAGUAAAAUAUUGACUAUAUUCAUUGCAACUGAACUCAUAAUUGUUUCAGUUUCUUUUGUAUGAUAUAAUUAUCAAAUGAUUUUCAAUAAUUUUAAGAUUUCCAUUCUUGAUGCUGUGCAAUCUGCAAAUUUCAACAAGUUCUACCAAAUUGUUUCGAAAUAUCCCGAACAUUCCGAAAAAUUAAAUAAAGUUUUCUUAGAGAAAAGUGGUGACAAUAUUGUGCAUCUUGCUGCCCAAACUAAUUGCAUAGAUAUUAUCAAAUAUAUCUAUGAAAACGGAAACAAGGUCUUAUUAAUUCAGAAAAAUCUGGAUGGAAAAUCCCCUUUACAUAUUGCUGCUCAUUGCGGUCAUUUGAAUUCUGUUCAGUUUCUUCUGUCGUGUCAAGUUCCUGUUGAUCCUUUGAAAAGAGCAGAUUGGACUCCAUUGAUGCUUGCCUGCACUAAAAACAAUGCAGAUGUUGUAAAAGUUUUGGUUGAGAAUGGAGCUAAUCUAUUAUUAAAAAAUAAAGAUGGAUGGACAGCAUUUCAUAUUGCAUCUAGAGAAGGCCACAUUGAUGUAAUUAAAAACCUGUUGCUGAAAAACCCUAACUUGUGGAAAACAAGAAGUAAUAAUGGAAGGACACCCUUACACACAGCAUCUCUUCAUGGGCAUUUGGAUAUUGUGAAACUCAUUACUUCUAACUCUGACUGUGAUAACGAUGUGCAAGAUUGCUGUGGCACUACACCACUAAUGGAUGCUGGAUCUGCAAAUCAUUUGUUAGUUGUCCAGUUCUUAAUAGAACAGAAAGCCAGUAUUUUGAAAGUAGAUGCUCUAGGGAGAAAUGUCCUUCACCUUGCUGCUCAAUCUGCAAGCUUAAGUUGCAUUCAAUAUCUGAUUUCACAGUGUGGCUUAAAUGUUAAUCAACAAAAUUCAGAUGGUUUGACUCCUCUCCAUUUUGCUGCGAAGGAAAACAAUAGUGACUGUAUAAAACUAUUAUUAAAGUUGAAUGCUACUCCUACUAUAAAGGACAAUAAAUGUCGCACUGGAAGUCACCGGCAAGGUAUGACGGGUGAAAAUUGCUUCUACAUUUGAACGAAGUCAUUGCCUGUUUGCUGAUAUUUUGAUAGUUGAAAUGGUAACCCUAACUCCAGUGGAUUAACCCUAAACUCCACGUCACAGUAUACAUCAAAAGAAGAAAUUUGUAAACUUUUGUUACCAUGAAAUGUUGUAAAUAAAUUUUAUAGCUAC